RNAcentral lists this ribosomal RNA (484 nucleotides) under uncultured bacterium. Its description in RNAcentral is "bacterial SSU rRNA". It matches the Rfam family "Bacterial small subunit ribosomal RNA", at positions 8 to 507 of the family's 1533-position model. The record is from RNAcentral.
AGAGUUUGAUCCUGGCUCAGACAACGCUGGCGGCGCGUCUUAAACAUGCAAGUCGAACGAUCUGUAGCAAUACAGGGAGUGGCGGACGGGUGAGGAACACGUAGGAAUCUACCUAGAAGAGCGGGACAACCUUGGGAAACCGGGGCUAAUACCGCAUAGUACAGUGAUGUUAAAGGGCUAGCAAUAGUCGCUUCUAGAUGAGCCUGCGGUCUAUCAGCUUGUUGGCGGGGUAACGGCCCACCAAGGCUACGACGGAUAGCCGGUCUGAGAGGAUGAUCGGCCACACUGGCACUGAGACACGGGCCAGACUCCUACGGGAGGCAGCAGUUAAGAAUCUUGCGCAAUGGACGAAAGUCUGACGCAGCGACGCCGCGUGAAGGAUGAAGGCUUUCGGGUUGUAAACUUCGGUAGACUGGGAAGAAAAAGUAAGUUCGUUGAGGGCUUACAUUGACGGUACCAGUCUGAAGCCCCGGCUAAUUACGUG